Molecule: ribosomal RNA, 497 nt
Filed under: uncultured bacterium
Lineage: Bacteria
Description: partial 16S ribosomal RNA
Rfam family: Bacterial small subunit ribosomal RNA
Source: RNAcentral
GAUGAACGCUGGCGGCGUGCUUAACACAUGCAAGUCGAACGAAGCAUUUACGACAGAUUUCUUCGGAUUGAAGUUGUUUAUGACUGAGUGGCGGACGGGUGAGUAACGCGUGGGUAACCUGCCUUGUACUGGGGGAUAGCAGCUGGAAACGGCUGGUAAUACCGCAUAAGCGCACAAUGUUGCAUGACAUGGUGUGAAAAACUCCGGUGGUAUAAGAUGGACCCGCGUCUGAUUAGCUAGUUGGUGAGAUAACAGCCCACCAAGGCGACGAUGAGUAGCCGGCCUGAGAGGGUGACCGGCCACAGUGGGACUGAGACACGGCCCAGACUCCUACGGGAGGCAGCAGUGGGGAAUAUUGCACAAUGGAGGAAACUUUGAUGCAGCGACGCCGCGUGAGUGAAGAAGUAAUUCGUUAUGUAAAGCUCUAUCAGCAGGGAAGAUAGUGACGGUACCUGACUAAGAAGCUCCGGCUAAAUACGUGCCAGCAGCCGCGGUAA